CCUACGGGAGGCAGCAGUGGGGAAUAUUGCGCAAUGGGCGAAAGCCUGACGCAGCGACGCCGCGUGAGGGAUGAAGGUCUUCGGAUCGUAAACCUCUGUCAGCAGCGAAGAACGGUCACUUUGCUAAUCAGCAGUGAAUUGACGGUACCUGCAAAGGAAGCACCGGCUAACUCCGUACCAGCAGCCGCGGUAAUACGGAGGGUGCGAGCGUUAAUCGGAAUUACUGGGCGGAAAGCGCUCGUAGGCGGUAUGUCAAGUCAAGGGUGACAUCCCCUCGCUCAACGUGGGAACUGCCUUUGAGACUGGCAGACUGGAGUGUGUGAGAGGAUAGUGGAAUUCCAGGUGUAGGAGUGAAAU
Molecule: ribosomal RNA, 357 nt
Filed under: uncultured bacterium
Lineage: Bacteria
Description: partial 16S ribosomal RNA
Rfam family: Bacterial small subunit ribosomal RNA
Source: RNAcentral